This 662-nucleotide ribosomal RNA is filed under the name Leptolyngbya sp. CPCC 696. RNAcentral's name for it is "bacterial SSU rRNA". It matches the Rfam family "Bacterial small subunit ribosomal RNA", at positions 99 to 795 of the family's 1533-position model. The record is from RNAcentral. Lineage: Bacteria; Bacillati; Cyanobacteriota; Cyanophyceae; Leptolyngbyales; Leptolyngbyaceae.
CGGACGGGUGAGUAACGCGUGAGAACAUGCCUUUAGAUUGGGGACAACAGUUGGAAACGACUGCUAAUACCGAAUGUGCCUUAGGGUGAAAGAUUUAUUGUCUAGAGAUUGGCUCGCGUCAGAUUAGCUAGUUGGAGUGGUAACGGCACACCAAGGCGACGAUCUGUACUUGGUCUGAGAGGAUGACCAGGCACACUGGAACUGAGACACGGUCCAGACUCCUACGGGAGGCAGCAGUGGGGAAUUUUCCGCAAUGGGCGAAAGCCUGACGGAGCAAUACCGCGUGAGGGAGGACGGCUUUUGGGUUGUAAACCUCUUUUAUCAGGGAAGAAUCGAUGACGGUACCUGAUGAAUCAGCAUCGGCUAACUCCGUGCCAGCAGCCGCGGUAAUACGGAGGAUGCAAGCGUUAUCCGGAAUUAUUGGGCGUAAAGCGUCCGUAGGUGGUUUAUCAAGUCUGCUGUCAAAGCGUGCGGCUUAACCGCAUAAGGGCAGUGGAAACUGAUGAACUAGAGUGCGAUAGGGGUAACAGGAAUUCCCAGUGUAGCGGUGAAAUGCGUAGAUAUUGGGAAGAACACCAGCGGCGAAAGCGUGUUACUGGGUCUGCACUGACACUGAGGGACGAAAGCUAGGGGAGCGAAAGGGAUUAGAUACCCCUGUAGUC